AAGUCGUAACAAGGUCUCCGUAGGUGAACCUGCGGAGGGAUCAUUAACACGUUUAACACGUAUCAACCAAACGCGAACUCGAGGUAACAUUUAAGCAAUUAAAUGAAACUUCAAUCGACCUUAAACUAAUUAAUUGUUUAAAUUCACUAGUGAUGGGCAUUGCAACGAUGCAAGUUGAAGUAGUGCGGUGAAAUUAGACUUACAUAGCUCGACUAUGAAGGUUAGUUAGUUUAAGGUUUCAACUUCUUUUCAUCACAGGAUAACAAACCCCUUUCACCCCCUUAUAACAAUUGACUGAUUCAAUUUGACUGGAGAAAUCCUAUUAAAUUCCAAAAAACUAAAGCACAACUCGUAGCAACGGAUAUCUAGGUUCUC
RNAcentral lists this unclassified non-coding RNA (375 nucleotides) under fungal sp. Its description in RNAcentral is "partial internal transcribed spacer region". The stretch from base 1 to 46 matches the Rfam family "Eukaryotic small subunit ribosomal RNA", at positions 1786 to 1831 of the family's 1831-position model. The record is from RNAcentral. Lineage: Eukaryota; Fungi.